RNAcentral lists this non-coding RNA (151 nucleotides) under Bradyrhizobium sp. RNAcentral's name for it is "FMN sequence". It matches the Rfam family "FMN riboswitch aptamer (RFN element)". Rfam says of the family: The RFN element is a highly conserved domain that is found frequently in the 5'-untranslated regions of prokaryotic mRNAs that encode for flavin mononucleotide (FMN) biosynthesis and transport proteins. This element is a metabolite-dependent riboswitch that directly binds FMN in the absence of proteins. The record is from RNAcentral. RNAcentral also lists the same sequence under 1 other name. Lineage: Bacteria; Pseudomonadati; Pseudomonadota; Alphaproteobacteria; Hyphomicrobiales; Nitrobacteraceae.
CGAUGUUCUCAGGGCGGGGUGAAAGUCCCCACCGGCGGUAAGGGUGCAAGCCCAAGCCCGCGAGCGCCUUCUUCGUGAAGUUGAGGAAGGGUCAGCAGAUUCGGUGCAAUUCCGAGGCCGACGGUUAAAGUCCGGAUGAAAGAGAACGGUU